Molecule: ribosomal RNA, 253 nt
Filed under: uncultured bacterium
Lineage: Bacteria
Description: partial 16S ribosomal RNA
Rfam family: Bacterial small subunit ribosomal RNA
Source: RNAcentral
UACGGGGGGGGCAAGCGUUGUUCGGAAUUACUGGGCGUAAAGGGCUCGUAGGCGGCCAACUAAGUCAGACGUGAAAUCCCCAGGCUCAACCUGGGAACUGCGUCUGAUACUGGAUGGCUUGAAUCCGGGAGAGGGAUGCAGAAUUCCAGGUGUAGCGGUGAAAUGCGUAGAUAUCUGGAGGAAUACCGGUGGCGAAGGCGGCAUCCUGGACCGGCAUUGACGCUGAGGAGCGAAAGCUGGGGGAGCGAACAGG